UACGUAGGCAGCGAGCGUUGUUCGGAAUUACUGGGCGUAAAGAGUGUGUAGGCGGUGCUCUAAGUUCGGUGUGAAAUCUCCUGGCUCAACUGGGAGGGUGCGCCGGAAACUGGAGUGCUUGAGCGUGGGAGAGGAAAGCGGAAUUCCUGGUGUAGCGGUGAAAUGACGUAGAUAUCGGGAGGAACACCUGUGGCGAAAGCGGCUCACUGGACCACAACUGACGCUGAGGCGCGAAAGCGUGGGGAGCGAACAGG
This 254-nucleotide ribosomal RNA is filed under the name uncultured bacterium. RNAcentral's name for it is "partial 16S ribosomal RNA". It matches the Rfam family "Bacterial small subunit ribosomal RNA", at positions 524 to 776 of the family's 1533-position model. The record is from RNAcentral.